UACGUAGGGUGCGAGCGUUAAUCGGAAUUACUGGGCGUAAAGCGCACGUAGUCGGCUUGCCAAGUCGGGUGUGAAAUCCCCGGGCUCAACCUGGGAACUGCAUCCGAAACUGGCUUGCUAGAGUAUGGGAGAGGGAGGCGGAAUUUCUGGUGUAGCAGUGAAAUGCGUAGAUAUCAGAAGGAACAUCAGUGGCGAAGGCGGCCUCCUGGACCAAUACUGACGAUCAGGUGCGAAAGCGUGGGGAGCAAACAGG
Molecule: ribosomal RNA, 253 nt
Filed under: uncultured bacterium
Lineage: Bacteria
Description: partial 16S ribosomal RNA
Rfam family: Bacterial small subunit ribosomal RNA
Source: RNAcentral